Molecule: long non-coding RNA, 538 nt
Filed under: Homo sapiens (human)
Lineage: Eukaryota; Metazoa; Chordata; Mammalia; Primates; Hominidae
Description: HSALNT0378244
Source: RNAcentral
GGCAACUUGUUCGGGUAUCCUUCCCCAGUGUGGAAGCUUUAGUUCUUUUGCUCUUUGCAAUGAAUCUUGCUGCUGCUCACUCUUUGGGUCCACGCUGCGUUUACACUGUGUUUAUGAGCUGUAACACUCACCACAAAGGUCUGCAGCUUCACUCCUGAAGCCAGCAAAGACCACGAACCCACCAGGAAGAAGGAACAACUCCAGACACGCAGCCUUAAGAGCUGUAACACUCACUGCCAAGGUCUUCAGCUUCACUCCUGAGCCAGCCAGACCAUGAACCCACCAGAAGGAAAAAACUCGGAACACAUCCCAACAUCAGAAGGAACAAACUCUGGACAUGCCGCCUUUAAGAACUGUAACAACGCAAGGGUCCGCGGCUUUAUUCUUGAAGUCAGUAAGACCAAGAACCCAAUUCCGGACACGUUUGGACCGUGAGUCCCUUUCUUGGGUUGGCUCAAUGUUUUAUAUGUAAGACAGCAACAGUGUCAGUGUUCUAGUUUAUCUGGUUUAAGGUUUAUUACCCAUCUGAGUGGGCCUG